UACGUAGGUGGCAAGCGUCGUCCGGAUUUACUGGGUGUAAAGGGCGCGUAGGCGGGAUUACAAGUCAGGUGUGAAAUUUAUGGGCUCAACCCAUAAACUGCAUUUGAAACUGUAGUUCUUGAGUGAUGGAGAGGCAGGCGGAAUUCCUAGUGUAGCGGUGAAAUGCGUAGAUAUUAGGAGGAACACCAGUGGCGAAGGCGGCCUGCUGGACAUUAACUGACGCUGAUGCGCGAAAGCGUGGGGAGCAAAC
RNAcentral lists this ribosomal RNA (250 nucleotides) under uncultured bacterium. Its description in RNAcentral is "partial 16S ribosomal RNA". It matches the Rfam family "Bacterial small subunit ribosomal RNA", at positions 524 to 773 of the family's 1533-position model. The record is from RNAcentral.